UAGGGAAUCUUCCACAAUGGACGCAAGUCUGAUGGAGCAACGCCGCGUGAGUGAAGAAGGUUUUCGGACCGUAAAGCUCUGUUGUUGGUGAAGAAGGAUAGAGGUAGUAACUGGCCUUUAUUUGACGGUAAUCAACUAGAAAGUCACGGGCUAACUACGUGCCAGCAGCCGCGGUAAUACGUAGGUGGCAAGCGUUGUCCGGAUUAUUGGGCGUAAAGCGAGCGCAGGCGGAAGAAUAAGUCUGAUGUGAAAGCCCUCGGCUUAACCGAGGAAUUGCAUCGGAAACUGUUUUCUUGAGUGCAGAA
This 305-nucleotide ribosomal RNA is filed under the name uncultured bacterium. RNAcentral describes it as "partial 16S ribosomal RNA". It matches the Rfam family "Bacterial small subunit ribosomal RNA", at positions 355 to 653 of the family's 1533-position model. The record is from RNAcentral.